RNAcentral lists this ribosomal RNA (497 nucleotides) under uncultured bacterium. RNAcentral describes it as "partial 16S ribosomal RNA". It matches the Rfam family "Bacterial small subunit ribosomal RNA", at positions 28 to 507 of the family's 1533-position model. The record is from RNAcentral.
GACGAACGCUGGCGGCGUGCCUAAUACAUGCAAGUAGAACGCUGAAGCGAGGAGCUUGCUCUUCUUGGAUGAGUUGCGAACGGGUGAGUAACGCGUAGGUAACCUGCCUGGUAGCGGGGGAUAACUAUUGGAAACGAUAGCUAAUACCGCAUAAAAUGGAUUAUCGCAUGAUAAUCCAUUGAAAGGUGCAAAUGCAUCACUACCAGAUGGACCUGCGUUGUAUUAGCUAGUUGGUGGGGUAACGGCUCACCAAGGCGACGAUACAUAGCCGACCUGAGAGGGUGAUCGGCCACACUGGGACUGAGACACGGCCCAGACUCCUACGGGAGGCAGCAGUAGGGAAUCUUCGGCAAUGGACGGAAGUCUGACCGAGCAACGCCGCGUGAGUGAAGAAGGUUGUCGGAUCGUAAAGCUCUGUUGUAAGAGAAGAACGAGGGUGAGAGUGGAAAGUUCACACUGUGACGGUAUCUGACCAGAAAGGGACGGCUAACUACGUG